UUUAUGGAGAGUUUGAUCCUGGCUCAGGAUGAACGCUGGCGGCGUGCCUAAUACAUGCAAGUCGAGCGAACGGACGAGAAGCUUGCUUCUCUGAUGUUAGCGGCGGACGGGUGAGUAACACGUGGAUAACCUACCUAUAAGACUGGGAUAACUUCGGGAAACCGGAGCUAAUACCGGAUAAUAUUUUGAACCGCAUGGUUCAAAAGUGAAAGACGGUCUUGCUGUCACUUAUAGAUGGAUCCGCGCUGCAUUAGCUAGUUGGUAAGGUAACGGCUUACCAAGGCAACGAUGCAUAGCCGACCUGAGAGGGUGAUCGGCCACACUGGAACUGAGACACGGUCCAGACUCCUACGGGAGGCAGCAGUAGGGAAUCUUCCGCAAUGGGCGAAAGCCUGACGGAGCAACGCCGCGUGAGUGAUGAAGGUCUUCGGAUCGUAAAACUCUGUUAUUAGGGAAGAACAUAUGUGUAAGUAACUGUGCACAUCUUGACGGUACCUAAUCAGAAAGCCACGGCUAACUACGUGCCAGCAGCCGCGGUAAUACGUAGGUGGCAAGCGUUAUCCGGAAUUAUUGGGCGUAAAGCGCGCGUAGGCGGUUUUUUAAGUCUGAUGUGAAAGCCCACGGCUCAACCGUGGAGGGUCAUUGGAAACUGGAAAACUUGAGUGCAGAAGAGGAAAGUGGAAUUCCAUGUGUAGCGGUGAAAUGCGCAGAGAUAUGGAGGAACACCAGUGGCGAAGGCGACUUUCUGGUCUGUAACUGACGCUGAUGUGCGAAAGCGUGGGGAUCAAACAGGAUUAGAUACCCUGGUAGUCCACGCCGUAAACGAUGAGUGCUAAGUGUUAGGGGGUUUCCGCCCCUUAGUGCUGCAGCUAACGCAUUAAGCACUCCGCCUGGGGAGUACGACCGCAAGGUUGAAACUCAAAGGAAUUGACGGGGACCCGCACAAGCGGUGGAGCAUGUGGUUUAAUUCGAAGCAACGCGAAGAACCUUACCAAAUCUUGACAUCCUUUGACAACUCUAGAGAUAGAGCUUUCCCCUUCGGGGGACAAAGUGACAGGUGGUGCAUGGUUGUCGUCAGCUCGUGUCGUGAGAUGUUGGGUUAAGUCCCGCAACGAGCGCAACCCUUAAGCUUAGUUGCCAUCAUUAAGUUGGGCACUCUAAGUUGACUGCCGGUGACAAACCGGAGGAAGGUGGGGAUGACGUCAAAUCAUCAUGCCCCUUAUGAUUUGGGCUACACACGUGCUACAAUGGACAAUACAAAGGGCAGCGAAACCGCGAGGUCAAGCAAAUCCCAUAAAGUUGUUCUCAGUUCGGAUUGUAGUCUG
RNAcentral lists this ribosomal RNA (1325 nucleotides) under Staphylococcus aureus. RNAcentral describes it as "bacterial SSU rRNA". It matches the Rfam family "Bacterial small subunit ribosomal RNA", at positions 1 to 1307 of the family's 1533-position model. Lineage: Bacteria; Bacillati; Bacillota; Bacilli; Caryophanales; Staphylococcaceae. The record is from RNAcentral.